UAGAAAAUAAUAUAGGGGGAGUAUGGAGGGUUUUGAUCUCUCUUGCGCAGGUUCGAUUCCUGCUUUUCUAA
RNAcentral lists this transfer RNA (71 nucleotides) under Leiothrix lutea (red-billed leiothrix). It matches the Rfam family "tRNA". Rfam says of the family: Transfer RNA (tRNA) molecules are approximately 80 nucleotides in length. Lineage: Eukaryota; Metazoa; Chordata; Aves; Passeriformes; Leiothrichidae. RNAcentral also lists the same sequence under 2 other names. The record is from Rfam by way of RNAcentral.